This 749-nucleotide ribosomal RNA is filed under the name uncultured bacterium. RNAcentral describes it as "bacterial SSU rRNA". It matches the Rfam family "Bacterial small subunit ribosomal RNA", at positions 8 to 766 of the family's 1533-position model. The record is from RNAcentral.
AGAGUUUGAUCCUGGCUCAGGACGAACGCUGGCGGCGUGCUUAACACAUGCAAGUCAAGGGGGCCCAGCAAUGGGCAACCGGCGAACGGGUGCGUAACACGUGAGCAACCUACCGAAAUGCGGGGGAUAGCCGGCCUAACGGCCGAGUAAUACCGCAUACGCUCUUUAUGAGGCAUUUCAUGGAGAGGAAACCUACGGGGUAUUUCGAGGGGCUCGCGGCCUAUCAGCUAGUUGGCGAGGUAACGGCUCACCAAGGCAACGACGGGUAGCUGGUCUGAGAGGAUGGCCAGCCACAUUGGGACUGAGAUACGGCCCAGACUCCUACGGGAGGCAGCAGUGGGGAAUCUUGCGCAAUGGCCUAACGGCUGACGCAAGCGACGCCGCGUGUGGGAUGAAGCUCCUCGGAGUGUAAACCACUGUUGCCCGGGACGAAUAGCUCGAUUAAUCGAGCCUGACGGUACCGGGUGAGGAAGCACCGGCUAACUCCGUGCCAGCAGCCGCGGUAAUACGGGGGGUGCGAGCGUUGUCCGGAAUCACUGGGCGUAAAGGGCGCGUAGGUGGUUUGAUAAGGGUGUGGUGAAAGUCCGGGGCUCAACCCCGGAUCUGCCGUGCCGACUGUCAAACUCGAGGACUGUAGAGGCAGACGGAAUUCCGGGUGUAGCGGUGGAAUGCGUAGAGAUCCGGAGGAAGACCGGUGGCGAAGGCGGUCUGCUGGGCAGUUUCUGACACUGAGGCGCGACAGCGUGGGG